Molecule: ribosomal RNA, 443 nt
Filed under: Streptococcus agalactiae
Lineage: Bacteria; Bacillati; Bacillota; Bacilli; Lactobacillales; Streptococcaceae
Description: bacterial SSU rRNA
Rfam family: Bacterial small subunit ribosomal RNA
Source: RNAcentral
UUAAUGAGAGUUUGAUCCUGGCUCAGGACGAACGCUGGCGGCGUGCCUAAUACAUGCAAGUAGAACGCUGAUGUUUGGUGUUUACACUAGACUGAUGAGUUGCGAACGGGUGAGUAACGCGUAGGUAACCUGCCUCAUAGCGGGGGAUAACUAUUGGAAACGAUAGCUAAUACCGCAUAAGAGUAAUUAACACAUGUUAGUUAUUUAAAAGGAGCAAUUGCUUCACUGUGAGAUGGACCUGCGUUGUAUUAGCUAGUUGGUGAGGUAAAGGCUCACCAAGGCGACGAUACAUAGCCGACCUGAGAGGGUGAUCGGCCACACUGGGACUGAGACACGGCCCAGACUCCUACGGGAGGCAGCAGUAGGGAAUCUUCGGCAAUGGACGGAAGUCUGACCCAGCCACGCCGCGUGAGUGAAGAAAGUUUUCGGAUCGGAAAGCUCUG